RNAcentral lists this RNase P RNA (406 nucleotides) under Prevotella sp. Its description in RNAcentral is "RNase P RNA component class A". It matches the Rfam family "Bacterial RNase P class A". Rfam says of the family: Ribonuclease P (RNase P) is a ubiquitous endoribonuclease, found in archaea, bacteria and eukarya as well as chloroplasts and mitochondria. Its best characterised activity is the generation of mature 5'-ends of tRNAs by cleaving the 5'-leader elements of precursor-tRNAs. The record is from RNAcentral. Lineage: Bacteria; Pseudomonadati; Bacteroidota; Bacteroidia; Bacteroidales; Prevotellaceae.
GCAGUGUUCCGGCUCUGCCGCUGGUGCCUACCUUCCUGUCUACCGACAGGUUCAGCGAGGCACGAGAGGAAAGUCCGGGCAGCACAGGACGCUCCACUUCUGAAAGUAGAAGCUGUCUGCGAAGGCAGGUUAGGGCAGAAGAAAACAACCGCUCCGCUUAAGGGAGUAAGGGUGAGAAGGCGGUGUAAGAGACCACCAGCCGGCGGGUGAUCGCCGGGCUGUGCCCACUGGAGGCUGCAAGUUCAUGUAUACCAUUGACCGAGGGUUGUCCGCCCGAGUUCCCCCGAGGAUGCAAUGGAGGGUAGAACGCUUCAGCCGUGGGGUGACUCACGGAGUAGAUAAAUGGCAGGCGCCUGCAAGGAGAAUCCUUCAGGAACAGAACCCGGCUUACAGGGACACUGUAUUC